This 800-nucleotide ribosomal RNA is filed under the name uncultured bacterium. RNAcentral describes it as "bacterial SSU rRNA". It matches the Rfam family "Bacterial small subunit ribosomal RNA", at positions 8 to 787 of the family's 1533-position model. The record is from RNAcentral.
AGAGUUUGAUCCUGGCUCAGAAUCAACGCUGGCGGCGUGCCUAACACAUGCAAGUCGAACGCGAAAGGGGCUUCGGCCCUGAGUAGAGUGGCGAACGGGUGAGUAACACGUGGGUGAUCUACCUCUGAGUGGGGGAUAACGUUCCGAAAGGAGCGCUAAUACCGCAUGACGUCCUGGGUUUGAAGACCUGGACACCAAAGUCGGGGACCGCAAGGCCUGACGCUUGGAGAGGAGCCCGCGCCUGAUUAGCUAGUUGGUGAGGUAACGGCUCACCAAGGCGACGAUCAGUAGCCGGCCUGAGAGGGCGGACGGCCACACUGGGACUGAGGCACGGCCCAGACUCCUACGGGAGGCAGCAGUGGGGAAUUGUUCGCAAUGGGCGCAAGCCUGACGACGCAACGCCGCGUGGAGGAUGAAGGUCUUCGGAUUGUAAACUCCUGUUGAUCGGGAAGAAUGGCCUCCGGGUUAAUACUCCGGAGGAGUGACGGUACCGAUUGAGGAAGCCACGGCUAACUCUGUGCCAGCAGCCGCGGUAAUACAGAGGUGGCAAGCGUUGUUCGGAAUUACUGGGCGUAAAGGGCGCGUAGGCGGUCGCCUAAGUCGGACGUGAAAUCCCCAAGCUUAACUUGGGAACUGCGUCCGAUACUGGGUGACUUGAGUUCGGGAGAGGAAUGUGGAAUUCCAGGUGUAGCGGUGAAAUGCGUAGAUAUCUGGAGGAACACCGGUGGCGAAGGCGGCAUUCUGGACCGAAACUGACGCUGAGGCGCGAAAGCCAGGGGAGCAAACGGGAUUAGAUACCC